This 254-nucleotide ribosomal RNA is filed under the name uncultured bacterium. Its description in RNAcentral is "partial 16S ribosomal RNA". It matches the Rfam family "Bacterial small subunit ribosomal RNA", at positions 524 to 776 of the family's 1533-position model. The record is from RNAcentral.
UACGUAGGUGGCAAGCGUUGUCCGGAUUUACUGGGCGUAAAGAGCGCGCAGGCGGUCGUUCAAGUCGCGUGUGAAAGCCCCCCGGCUCAACUGGGGAGGGUCACGCGAUACUGAUCGACUCGAAGGCAGGAGAGGGUAGUGGAAUUCCCGGUGUAGUGGUGAAAUGCGUAGAUAUCGGGAGGAACACCAGUGGCGAAGGCGACUACCUGGCCUGUUCUUGACGCUGAGGCGCGAAAGCUAGGGGAGCAAACAGG